CAACCCUCAAGCUCUGCUUGGUAUUGGGUGUCGUCCCCCUACAGGGACGCGCCUCAAAGCCUUUGUGCGGUGCAGCCCGGCUUCAAGCGUAGCAGAAAACCUCGCUUUGGAGUUUGGGCUGUCACCCGCCGGACAACAUCACCCUUUUCACCAA
This 154-nucleotide unclassified non-coding RNA is filed under the name uncultured Dothideomycetes. RNAcentral's name for it is "sequence contains ITS2". Lineage: Eukaryota; Fungi; Ascomycota; Dothideomycetes. The record is from RNAcentral.